This 322-nucleotide long non-coding RNA is filed under the name Pan troglodytes (chimpanzee). RNAcentral's name for it is "long non-coding RNA NONPTRT011189". Lineage: Eukaryota; Metazoa; Chordata; Mammalia; Primates; Hominidae. The record is from RNAcentral.
UUCUGGGUGUCUUCUGGCCGUGUUCUGGAACAACUGCACCCUUGUCUUUGUCUCCAGAUGUUGAUAUGGCCCUGGGGGUGGCCGUCUUGAAGGAGGCCUGAUCUAUAUCCUGCCAGUCAGUGGAUGCGACAGAGCUGCUCACCGCCAAGACAUCUGCUGAAUGUGAAGGCUGGAGCAACAGCAACCCUCUUGGUCCAGCAAGAGGACUGGUCUAGCAACCCUCUAGGUAAUCUUGAGGGUGGAAGGCACACAGUAAGAGGGUGGACCAAGCAAGGAUGGAAGGACCCUGGGUCCCAUGAUUGGAGCUGUCCGGCAGCCACCA